RNAcentral lists this ribosomal RNA (177 nucleotides) under Lysinibacillus fusiformis. RNAcentral describes it as "16S rRNA. Bacterial SSU". It matches the Rfam family "Bacterial small subunit ribosomal RNA", at positions 19 to 190 of the family's 1533-position model. The record is from RNAcentral. Lineage: Bacteria; Bacillati; Bacillota; Bacilli; Caryophanales; Bacillaceae.
CUGGCUCAGGACGAACGCUGGCGGCGUGCCUAAUACAUGCAAGUCGAGCGAACAGAGAAGGAGCUUGCUCCUUUGACGUUAGCGGCGGACGGGUGAGUAACACGUGGGCAACCUACCUUAUAGUUUGGGAUAACUCCGGGAAACCGGGGCUAAUACCGAAUAAUCUGUUUCACCUCA